UACGUAGGUGGCAAGCGUUGUCCGGAUUUAUUGGGCUUAAAGGGUGCGUAGGCGGCCCUGUAAGUCAGUGCUGAAAUAUCCCGGCUUAACCGGGAGGGUGGCAUUGAUACUGCGGGGCUAGAGUACAGAUGAGGUAGGCGGAAUUGACGGUGUAGCGGUGAAAUGCUUAGAUAUCGUGAAGAACACCUAUAGCGAAGGCAGCUUACUAGGCUGUAACUGACGCUGAGGCACGAAAGUGUGAGGAGCAAACAGG
RNAcentral lists this ribosomal RNA (253 nucleotides) under uncultured bacterium. RNAcentral describes it as "partial 16S ribosomal RNA". It matches the Rfam family "Bacterial small subunit ribosomal RNA", at positions 524 to 776 of the family's 1533-position model. The record is from RNAcentral.